GUGGCGACCGGCGCACGGGUGAGUAACGCGUAUGCAACCUUCCUAUCAGAGGGGAAUAACCCGGCGAAAGUCGGACUACUUCCGCAUAAAACAGGGACACCGCAUGGUGAUAUUUGUUAAAGAAAUUCGCUGAUAGAUGGGCAUGCGUUCCAUUAGGUAGUUGGUGAGGUAACGGCUCACCAAGCCGACGAUGGAUAGGGGAACUGAAAGGUUGGUCCCCCACACUGGUACUGAGACACGGACCAGACUCCUACGGGAGGCAGCAGUGAGGAAUAUUGGUCAAUGGGCGAGAGCCUGAACCAGCCAAGCCGCGUGAAGGAAGAAGGAUCUAUGGUUCGUAAACUUCUUUUGCAGGGGAAUAAAGUGCAGGACGUGUCUUGUUUUGUAUGUACCCUGAGAAUAAGGAUCGGUUAACUCCGUGCCAGCAGCCGC
Molecule: ribosomal RNA, 432 nt
Filed under: uncultured Porphyromonadaceae bacterium
Lineage: Bacteria; Pseudomonadati; Bacteroidota; Bacteroidia; Bacteroidales; Porphyromonadaceae
Description: bacterial SSU rRNA
Rfam family: Bacterial small subunit ribosomal RNA
Source: RNAcentral